This 301-nucleotide ribosomal RNA is filed under the name uncultured bacterium. RNAcentral's name for it is "partial 16S ribosomal RNA". It matches the Rfam family "Bacterial small subunit ribosomal RNA", at positions 509 to 807 of the family's 1533-position model. The record is from RNAcentral.
CAGCCGCCACGGGAAUACGGAGGGUGCAAGCGUUAAUCGGAAUUACUGGGCGUAAAGCGCACGCAGGCGGUCUGUCAAGUCGGAUGUGAAAUCCCCGGGCUCAACCUGGGAACUGCAUUCGAAACUGGCAGGCUAGAGUCUUGUAGAGGGGGGUAGAAUUCCAGGUGUAGCGGUGAAAUGCGUAGAGAUCUGGAGGAAUACCGGUGGCGAAGGCGGCCCCCUGGACAAAGACUGACGCUCAGGUGCGAAAGCGUGGGGAGCAAACAGGAUUAGAUACCCGAGUAGUCCCUGUCUCUUAUAC